UACGGGAGGCAGCAGUGGGGAAUAUUGCACAAUGGGCGCAAGCCUGAUGCAGCCACGCCGCGUGUAUGAAGAAGGCCUUCGGGUUGUAAAGUACUUUCAGUCGUGAGGAAGGUGUUAAGGUUAAUAACCUUAGCAAUUGACGUUAGCGACAGAAGAAGCACCGGCUAACUCCGUGCCAGCAGCCGCGGUAAUACGGAGGGUGCGAGCGUUAAUCGGAAUUACUGGGCGUAAAGGGCACGCAGGCGGUUAAUUAAGUUGGAUGUGAAAUCCCCGGGCUUAACCUGGGAAUGGCAUUCAAGACUGGUUAGCUAGAGUCUUGUAGAGGGGGUAGAAUUCCAUGUGUAGCGGUGAAAUGCGUAGAGAUGUGGAGGGAAAUACCGGUGGCGAAAGGCGGCCCCUGGACAAAGACUGACGCUCAUGUGCGAAAAGCGUGGGGAGCAAAACAGGGAUUAGAUACC
This 458-nucleotide ribosomal RNA is filed under the name uncultured bacterium. RNAcentral's name for it is "bacterial SSU rRNA". It matches the Rfam family "Bacterial small subunit ribosomal RNA", at positions 340 to 786 of the family's 1533-position model. The record is from RNAcentral.